UACAGAGGGGGCAAGCGUUGUUCGGAAUUACUGGGCGUAAAGGGCGCGUAGGCGGCCUGUUAAGUCGAACGUGAAAUCCCCGGGCUCAACCCGGGAACUGCGUCCGAUACUGGCAGGCUUGAAUUCGGGAGAGGGAUGUGGAAUUCCAGGUGUAGCGGUGAAAUGCGUAGAUAUCUGGAGGAACACCGGUGGUGUAGACGGCUUUCUGGUCCGAUUCUGACGCUGAGGCGCGAAAGCGUGGGGAGCGAUCCGG
RNAcentral lists this ribosomal RNA (253 nucleotides) under uncultured bacterium. Its description in RNAcentral is "partial 16S ribosomal RNA". It matches the Rfam family "Bacterial small subunit ribosomal RNA", at positions 524 to 776 of the family's 1533-position model. The record is from RNAcentral.